UCGAGAAUCUUUCACAAUGGGGGCAACCCUGAUGGAGCGACGCCGCGUGGAGGAUAAGGUCUUCGGAUUGUAAACUCCUGUCAUGCGAGAACAAAGCCCGCAAGGGUGUGAUAGUACCGCAAGAGGAAGAGACGGCUAACUCUGUGCCAGCAGCCGCGGUAAUACAGAGGUCUCAAGCGUUGUUCGGAAUCACUGGGCGUAAAGGGUGCGUAGGCGGCGCAGCAAGUCAGAUGUGAAAUCCGGAGGCUCAACCUCCGAACUGCAUCCGAAACUGCUGUGCUCGAGAUCUGUAGAGGGACUUGGAAUUCUCGGUGUAGCAGUGAAAUGCGUAGAUAUCGAGAAGAACGCUCGUGGCGAAGGCGAAGUCCUGGGCAGAUUCUGACGCUGAGGCACGAAGGCCAGGGGAGCAAACGG
Molecule: ribosomal RNA, 414 nt
Filed under: uncultured bacterium
Lineage: Bacteria
Description: bacterial SSU rRNA
Rfam family: Bacterial small subunit ribosomal RNA
Source: RNAcentral